Molecule: long non-coding RNA, 3187 nt
Organism: Tympanuchus pallidicinctus (lesser prairie-chicken)
Lineage: Eukaryota; Metazoa; Chordata; Aves; Galliformes; Phasianidae
Exons: 3
Source: RefSeq, a predicted model, not a curated record
AAGAGGUGCAGCCAGGAUCCACCCCUUCCCAGAACUUAUGUAAGGGUUGGCAGUGGAAACAGGGGUAUCUUGCUAGAGAUUUCUGUGUAUCUAAGGCCUUCUGAAGCUGUACCUGGCACCUGAUUGUGUAGGUGGUGGAGAGCAGGAGGAGAAUUGUGUCCUUGUGGAGAUCUCAACCAGACACAGAGAUGGAAGAAAAACUUCUCCCUUACAAAUCAAAGCACUUGUUUCAUCCCUUCUUCAAGACUUCAUUACAUUUCGUCAGGCCAGAGAACGUUUAUUUUUAAAGCAAAAUCUCCAUAAGUAAUACUUUGGUUUUCAUUCAGUGAAGACACAGCAGAAGCUGAAUUGAGCCCUUUUCACCUGAAUGGCCUGCAGCUUGCGGGAUGGUAGCAGAAUUGAGUCAAGCAGGCAGGACAGCAGUGGGGUGUCUGUGGGAUGGUUUCUCAGAUUCAGUGCACAAAGGCAGCAGGGUUGGCUGCCUGUGAACCCCUUGCAGACCCUGCCAAUCCCCUCUGUCCGUGGCUGAGGACGUGUAGCAGUUAAGGAACAGGCCCACUAGCUGCAAGGGGCACUCUGACUUCAGAUCUCCGUGCCCCAGCAGCCCAUGGCACAGCCACUCCUCAUGCUUCACUCCUACCUCCAAGUAUUACACCAAUAGCAGUGACAAAUGUGUUGAGGGGAAUGAGAUUAGAUAAGGAAGAAGGAGGAGGCUAAAUAAUGCACUUUCUACUGACAUGUCAUUGUUGGUACAUCUGUAUUAUGUCUGGAUGUAGUAAUGAUUACUUCUCUGAAACUGCGCUGCAAGACAAUUUGAGCUGAUAAAUCGUAAGAGUUUUCUGGUUUCAAGAUCCCAAAUGCUAUGCGAGAAGAAAAGAUGGGGAUAGGGGAAGAAAAGAAUGGAUGCUCACCUUAAAUCUGUUGACACAAAAAUGUAGCUUCAGGAUGAUAGUAAAAUACUGUAAAACACAAAAAGGGCAGUCUUGCUUGGAAUUCAACUCAUACUAAGGCGUUCUUCAUGAUUCUCUCCUUUUCUGAAGAAGAGGGGAAAAAAAAAAGAUUUUUAAAUGGAGCCUAGUCUUUAGGAGUUGUGUAUAUACGUUCUUGACUGAUGAACUCUUAUAUAUGCAUGUGAUCCAAUAGAAAGUAGUUUUAAAAAAUCAAACCAUUAAUUAUAGGGUGAUUUCAUAGCAAAGGUUAGGGAAAAGUCAGGACGGUUUGGUGGUUUGAUAAUGUUUAUUCUCUCUCUCUAUGACAUACUGGAUGGUAGUAUAUAUAGCAGGGGCUUUCCCAGUUGUUUGUACACGUUCUCCCACACCCUAACAAAGAGGUAGGAAGUAGAGAAGUAUUGUUUAUAAAACCAAAGCUGGAUAAACUAUCUGUACAGAGCCUCUGCAGCAGAGUAUUUGCUUUGCAUACUUCUACACCUCAGUGAAUUUCAGUGGGAGCUGCAGUUUCACUUAUAGUACAUGGGCUACUGAGGGCCUUUGACCCAGACUAUUUGCAACAGCUGAUCUCCCCUCUAAAUGGAGCCAGACACUAAUUGUUCUGGCUGAUGCUAAGGGCUGGUGCACCUCAGCCUUGUGAAAGCAAAAGGCAAGAAAAUCUGAAGAGAGCUACUGUGAUUUCCCUUUGAACGCAAAAUGUGUUUGAGCAGAGUAGAGUUAAAGUAAAUGACAUGGGGCGUUCUAGGGUAAAAACUUUUGACAUCUGCUUAUGCUCACACAAAUUAUUUGCUACCAAAGUAACUCCUGGAGGCUGAAAUGGCCUGAUGACAGCAUAGGAAGAGGAUGGAGGAAGUAUGGUCUUUGACUCACUCACAGAAAUCACCAUGGCCAGAAAGUUGGCUAAAGAUCUUCCUGGCCAAGUUCCAGCCCUGAUGAGGGAUUCUCAAAUACUUCUUCUGCAGGGGCUGAAGGCUACAAAUAAGCGAGAGGGCUGCCCAGAAGAGAAGGUAAAUAGAGGAUGAGGAGCAGCUCAGAAGAUGAUGUUUGCCAGCGGCCUGCAAUGCUACUCUGCAGCUUCUUGCCUUUUUCAAUAGUCAGAAGUGGAUAAAUAAAUAAAAGCACAUUUUAAAAUUGGAAAUAAAUAAAUAAAACCAGAACAAACAGCAGCAGUUAAAAAAAAAUAAUAAUAAUAAUGCUGGCUACACCCAGCAUCACUCAGUCUCAGCUGGGUUCCUGUGUGCAUCUAUCCAGUACCAGCCAGCACUUCAGCAGUAAUCCAGUCAAAGCUGCCAGCAUGUACAAAAAUCAGGCCCAAUUAAUCUAAAUAUAGACUAUAGUAGGACAUUACUGAAAAUAAGGGUUUAUCAUUUUAAUCAGUACCCUUUGGUUUAAUUCAAUGCUAUGUGACAUUCCUGUGACUGGCUGGCUGUUCCCUGAGCAAUUCCCUUCAACACUUCCAUGGGUCAGUAUCCAGGACUGAUGUUUCCUCCUCCUUUUUCCUCAGAGAGCCAGGACAUCCAGAGCAGCCCAGUUCUAACAGCAUGCAAUGAAAUGGCCCAAUAAAGGCCAAAUGAAGGCUGGAGGUAUGCCAGCAUGUGAACAGGGGGGCUUCUUUGUGGGGUGACUGCACAGCUAAAUAUCCUGGUUAGUCUCAGCAGCAAUCUAGGAAAGCAGCUGGAAAAACAUCAAAAUAAUUCACAGCACAGAUAUCAUUGAAUUGUAAAGGGAGAAAAGCUGCAUCUCUGUUUGGUGCUAGUAUUUUAAAGAUAUGAUUUGAUGAAACUCAGAGUUACGUUUUGGUAAUUCUAAAAUUCUAUGAUUACAGAGAAGCUGUAAAAAAAAGCUGGACAAAUCUGCUGAAGUUGGUCAUUAAUAUGAUAUCUUAAAUAUGUGCUACCAAGGCCCAGAUGAAUUCCUGAGAAGUCAAAAAGCAUGAGAUAGAGAAGACCUGCAAGGUCAUCUGGUCCAUCUCCUUGUCAGUGUUUGUUGUUUUGUUUCUCCCUGGUUUCCCAUGUCUUAAUUUAAAUUUGUUCUUAUUUCCUCCCUCCUUAUCAACCAUAUGAAUCUUCUUUAAAAUAACUGCUCUCCUCCUCAGUAUAAGAUCAGAUAAUAGAGUACAGAUUUAAUUCCUUUCUCUUGUAGAACCUGAAAUUAAUCUGUCUCUAUUAAGAGCUCAAUUGUGGUUAAUCGCUAUUGUCCCUAUCGCUUUGUUUCAGCUUGUUCUGCGCACAUUGCUUCUU